AGGCCUCAUGCUCACUGGCAAGCAC
Molecule: non-coding RNA, 25 nt
Filed under: Cricetulus griseus (Chinese hamster)
Lineage: Eukaryota; Metazoa; Chordata; Mammalia; Rodentia; Cricetidae
Source: RNAcentral